Molecule: microRNA, 23 nt
Filed under: Homo sapiens (human)
Lineage: Eukaryota; Metazoa; Chordata; Mammalia; Primates; Hominidae
Description: hsa-miR-512-5p
Gene: hsa-miR-512-5p
Source: miRBase by way of RNAcentral
CACUCAGCCUUGAGGGCACUUUC